This is a long non-coding RNA of Ctenopharyngodon idella (grass carp), 714 nucleotides long. RefSeq lists it as uncharacterized. Lineage: Eukaryota; Metazoa; Chordata; Actinopteri; Cypriniformes; Xenocyprididae. The transcript has 4 exons. The record is from RefSeq and is a predicted model, not a curated record.
AAAUCCUGCCCACUUCUUUGCAUUGUCACACAUGCUUCAGUGCUCUGAGAGUGUUUAUAGUGCUGUGAGUUUAACACUUCAUGACUGAGAGCAGAACAGAACACAAUCUUCAUCAUCACACAAGACAAAAGAACAACAAUGAACAAAAUCACCUUCUUCAUCUGGACUCUCACACUGUUUAUUCAGGAAUCCAGAGGAGUGACUCUGACUCAACCUGAAGUUAAAACUGUCCAACAGGGUCAAACAGCUACAAUAGAGUGUCAUAUAGAUGUAGGAAUAUACGAUGAUCGUUUAGCCUGGUAUCAGCAGAAACCUGGAGAAGCUCCUAAACUCCUGAUUUAUUGGAUCAACAGACUCCAGUCAGGAACUCCAUCUAGAUUCAGUGGCAGUGGAACAGCAAAUACUGGACGAGAUUUCACUCUGACCAUCAGUGGAGUCCAGACUGAAGAUACAGGAGAUUAUUACUGUCAGAGUGAACACUAUAUCAACAGUAAAUAUGUGUUCACACAGUGAUAAAGAGUGGUACAAAAACCUCGGUCAGUCAGACGUCACAGUGAUGCACUGAUACAGCUGAGAGAUACUGCAGCUGCUGAUGGAGGAUCACAAACAACACAAUGGAUUGAAAGAAGCGGUUUCUUUCUCCAGUGGUUGUGGAAAAAUAUGCAUACUAACUGAUCAGAUUUAGUCUGAAAGCCCACUAUGAGUACACCAGCA